This 85-nucleotide transfer RNA is filed under the name Candidatus Saccharimonadota bacterium. RNAcentral describes it as "tRNA-Leu". It matches the Rfam family "tRNA". From Rfam's summary of the family: Transfer RNA (tRNA) molecules are approximately 80 nucleotides in length. Their secondary structure includes four short double-helical elements and three loops (D, anti-codon, and T loops). The record is from RNAcentral. Lineage: Bacteria; Candidatus Saccharimonadota.
GCGCGAGUGGUGGAAUUGGUAGACACGCUAGCCUUAGGAGCUAGUGAGGAAACUCGUGGAGGUUCAAGUCCUCUCUCGCGCACCA